This 497-nucleotide ribosomal RNA is filed under the name uncultured bacterium. RNAcentral's name for it is "partial 16S ribosomal RNA". It matches the Rfam family "Bacterial small subunit ribosomal RNA", at positions 28 to 507 of the family's 1533-position model. The record is from RNAcentral.
GAUGAACGCUGGCGGCGUGCCUAAUACAUGCAAGUCGAGCGAACGGACGAGAAGCUUGCUUCUCUGAUGUUAGCGGCGGAAGGGUGAGUAACACGUGGAUAACCUACCUAUAAGACUGGGAUAACUUCGGGAAACCGGAGCUAAUACCGGAUGAUAUUUUGAACCGCAUGGUUCAAAAGUGAAAGACGGUCUUGCUGUCACUUAUAGAUGGAUCCGCGCUGCAUUAGCUAGUUGGUAAGGUAACGGCUUACCAAGGCAACGAUGCAUAGCCGACCUGAGAGGGUGGUCGGCCACACUGGAACUGAGACACGGUCCAGACUCCUACGGGAGGCAGCAGUAGGGAAUCUUCCGCAAUGGGCGAAAGCCUGACGGAGCAACGCCGCGGGAGUGAUGAAGGUCUUCGGAUCGUAAAACUCUGUUAUUAGGGAAGAACAUAUGUGUAAGUAACUGUGCACAUCUUGACGGUACCUAAUCAGAAAGCCACGGCUAACUACGUG